This 454-nucleotide ribosomal RNA is filed under the name uncultured bacterium. Its description in RNAcentral is "bacterial SSU rRNA". It matches the Rfam family "Bacterial small subunit ribosomal RNA", at positions 351 to 796 of the family's 1533-position model. The record is from RNAcentral.
GCAGGCGAGAAUUAUUCGCAAUGGGCGAGAAGCCUGACGAUGCGACGCCGUGUGAACGAAGAAGGCCUUAGGGUUGUAAAGUUCUUUCGCCUAAGAACAAGAGAGAUCUCUGAAUAUGGGGUCAAUUUGAGGGUAUUAGGUAAAGAAGCACCGGCUAACUCUGUGCCAGCAGCUGCGGUAAUACAGAGGGUGCAAGCAUUAAUCGGAUUUAUUGGGCGUAAAGGGCGCGUAGGCGGAAGCAAAAGUUUGGCGUGAAAUUUCGAGGCUCAACCUCGAAGCGGCGCUGAAAACUCUGCUUCUCGAGGAUGGGCGGGGAAAACGGAAUUCCACAAGUAGCGGUGAAAUGCGUAGAUAUGUGGAAGAACACCGGUGGCGAAGGCGGUUUUCUAGCUUACUCCUAACGCUGAGGCGCGAAAGCAAGGGGAUCAAACAGGAUUAGAUACCCCCGUAGUCC